AAUCGAACCCGGAGAUAGCUGGUUCUCCUCGAAAUAGCUUUAGGGCUAGCCUCGAUACAGAUUUGCGGAGGUAGAGCACUGAAUUUCCUAGGGGGCGUCAAAGCCUACCGAAGAAUAUCAAACUCCGAAUGCCGCGUAAUCGAUUAUCGGGAGUCAGACUGCACGAGAUAAGUUGGGCGGUCAAAAGGGAAAGAGCCCAGACCUUCAGUUAAGGUCCCCAAGUGCGCGUUAAGUGGAAAAGGAUGUGGGAUUUCGAAGACAACCAGGAUGUUGGCUCAGAAGCAGCCAUCCAUUCAAAGAGUGCGUAAUAGCUCACUGGUCGAGAGGUCCUGCGCCGAAAAUGUCCGGGGCUGAAACGCGCCACCGAAACUAAGGAACCGAAAGGUUGGUAGAGGAGCAUUGCAUGCGGGAAGAAGCAGUACCGUAAGGAGCUGUGGACUGCAUGGAAGAGAGAAUGCCGGAAUGAGUAGCGAGAUAGAGGUGGGAAUCCUCUAGGCCGAAUAUCCAAGGUUUCCAGAGUAAAGCUGAUCUGCUCUGGGUAAGUCGGGGCCUAAGGCGAGGACGAGAGUCGUAGCCGAUGGACAACAGGUGGAGAUUCCUGUACUGCGGUAUGACAGAACUGUGGGGACACGUAAGGAAAGCGGAAGCCGGGAAUGGAAAGCCCGGUGCAAGCGGGGUACCAGUCACUUUGGCAAAUCCGGGUGGCAAUGGGAAGCCGUGAUGCGGAGCGAAAUAAAGUAGCGAAGUCCGUGAGCCAUGCGUCAAGAAAAGCCGCUAUUGUUUAUACCGUACCCGUACCGUAAACCGACACAGGUGGAUGAGGAGAGAAUCCUAAGGCCGGCGGAAGAAGCAUUGUCAAGGAACUCGGCAAAAUGGCCCCGUAACUUAGGGAUAAGGGGUGCCUGGGAAACCAGGCCGCAGAGAAUAGGCUCAAGCAACUGUUUAGCAAAAACACAGGUCUAUGCGAAACCGAAAGGUGAGGUAUAUGGGCUGACGCCUGCCCGGUGCUGGAAGGUUAAGAGGAGAGGUUAGCGCAAGCGAAGCUUUGAAUUUAAGCCCCAGUAAACGGCGGCCGUAACUAUAACGGUCCUAAGGUAGCGAAAUUCCUUGUCGGGUAAGUUCCGACCCGCACGAAAGGCGUAAUGAUUUGAGCGCUGUCUCGACAAUGCAUCCGGUGAAAUUGAAGUACCAGUGAAGAUGCUGGUUACCUGCGCCAGGACGGAAAGACCCCAUGGAGCUUUACUCCAGUCUGGUACUGGGACUCGGUAUUGCAUGUACAGGAUAGGUGGGAGGCUAGGAGAUGGUAACGCCAGUUGCCAUGGAGCCGCUGUUGGGAUACCACCCUUGCAGUAUUGGGUUUCUAACCAGCCGCCGUGACCCGGCGGUGGGACAAUGCCAGACGGGGAGUUUGACUGGGGCGGUCGCCUCCGAAAGGGUAUCGGAGGCGCCCAAAGGUUCCCUCAGAAUGGACGGAAACCAUUCGAAGAGUGCAAAGGCAGAAGGGAGCUUGACUGCGACACCGACGGGUGGAGCAGGUACGAAAGUAGGACUUAGUGAUCCGGUGGUAUAAAGUGGGAUUGCCAUCGCUCAACGGAUAAAAGCUACCCUGGGGAUAACAGGCUUAUCACUCCCAAGAGUUCACAUCGACGGAGUGGUUUGGCACCUCGAUGUCGGCUCAUCGCAUCCUGGGGCUGUAGUAGGUCCCAAGGGUUGGGCUGUUCGCCCAUUAAAGCGGUACGCGAGCUGGGUUCAGAACGUCGUGAGACAGUUCGGUCCCUAUCCGGCGUGGGCGUAGGAUAUCUGAGAGGAGCUGUCCUUAGUACGAGAGGACCGGGAUGGACGGGCCGCUGGUGCAUCGGUUAGACUGCCAAGUCUACGGCCGAGUAGCCAAGCCCGGAAGGGAUAAACGCUGAAGGCAUCUAAGCGUGAAGCCCCCCUUAAGAUGAGAUAUCCCAUUCGAAAGAAGUAAACCCCCUUGA
This 1979-nucleotide ribosomal RNA is filed under the name human gut metagenome. RNAcentral's name for it is "bacterial LSU rRNA". It matches the Rfam family "Bacterial large subunit ribosomal RNA", at positions 831 to 2841 of the family's 2925-position model. The record is from RNAcentral.